This 2926-nucleotide ribosomal RNA is filed under the name Escherichia coli. Its description in RNAcentral is "23S ribosomal RNA". It matches the Rfam family "Bacterial large subunit ribosomal RNA". Lineage: Bacteria; Pseudomonadati; Pseudomonadota; Gammaproteobacteria; Enterobacterales; Enterobacteriaceae. The record is from RNAcentral.
GGGUUGUGAGGUUAAGCGACUAAGCGUACACGGUGGAUGCCCUGGCAGUCAGAGGCGAUGAAGGACGUGCUAAUCUGCGAUAAGCGUCGGUGAGGUGAUAUGAAUCGUUAUAACCGGCGAUUUCCGAAUGGGGAAACCCAGUGUGUUUCGACACACUAUCAUUAACUGAAUCCAUAGGUUAAUGAGGCGAACCGGGGGAACUGAAACAUCUAAGUACCCCGAGGAAAAGAAAUCAACCGAGAUUCCCCCAGUAGCGGCGAGCGAACGGGGAGGAGCCCAGAGCCUGAAUCAGUGUGUGUGUUAGUGGAAGCGUCUGGAAAGGCGCGCGAUACAGGGUGACAGCCCCGUACACAAAAAUGCACAUAUUGUGAGCUCGAUGAGUAGGGCGGGACACGUGGUAUCCUGUCUGAAUAUGGGGGGACCAUCCUCCAAGGCUAAAUACUCCUGACUGACCGAUAGUGAACCAGUACCGUGAGGGAAAGGCGAAAAGAACCCCGGCGAGGGGAGUGAAAAAGAACCUGAAACCGUGUACGUACAAGCAGUGGGAGCCUCUUAAUGGGGUGACUGCGUACCUUUUGUAUAAUGGGUCAGCGACUUAUAUUCUGUAGCAAGGUUAACCGAAUAGGGGAGCCGAAGGGAAACCGAGUCUUAACUGGGCGUUAAGUUGCAGGGUAUAGACCCGAAACCCGGUGAUCUAGCCAUGGGCAGGUUGAAGGUUGGGUAACACUAACUGGAGGACCGAACCGACUAAUGUUGAAAAAUUAGCGGAUGACUUGUGGCUGGGGGUGAAAGGCCAAUCAAACCGGGAGAUAGCUGGUUCUCCCCGAAAGCUAUUUAGGUAGCGCCUCGUGAAUUCAUCUCCGGGGGUAGAGCACUGUUUCGGCAAGGGGGUCAUCCCGACUUACCAACCCGAUGCAAACUGCGAAUACCGGAGAAUGUUAUCACGGGAGACACACGGCGGGUGCUAACGUCCGUCGUGAAGAGGGAAACAACCCAGACCGCCAGCUAAGGUCCCAAAGUCAUGGUUAAGUGGGAAACGAUGUGGGAAGGCCCAGACAGCCAGGAUGUUGGCUUAGAAGCAGCCAUCAUUUAAAGAAAGCGUAAUAGCUCACUGGUCGAGUCGGCCUGCGCGGAAGAUGUAACGGGGCUAAACCAUGCACCGAAGCUGCGGCAGCGACGCUUAUGCGUUGUUGGGUAGGGGAGCGUUCUGUAAGCCUGUGAAGGUGUGCUGUGAGGCAUGCUGGAGGUAUCAGAAGUGCGAAUGCUGACAUAAGUAACGAUAAAGCGGGUGAAAAGCCCGCUCGCCGGAAGACCAAGGGUUCCUGUCCAACGUUAAUCGGGGCAGGGUGAGUCGACCCCUAAGGCGAGGCCGAAAGGCGUAGUCGAUGGGAAACAGGUUAAUAUUCCUGUACUUGGUGUUACUGCGAAGGGGGGACGGAGAAGGCUAUGUUGGCCGGGCGACGGUUGUCCCGGUUUAAGCGUGUAGGCUGGUUUUCCAGGCAAAUCCGGAAAACCAAGGCUGAGGCGUGAUGACGAGGCACUACGGUGCUGAAGCAACAAAUGCCCUGCUUCCAGGAAAAGCCUCUAAGCAUCAGGUAACAUCAAAUCGUACCCCAAACCGACACAGGUGGUCAGGUAGAGAAUACCAAGGCGCUUGAGAGAACUCGGGUGAAGGAACUAGGCAAAAUGGUGCCGUAACUUCGGGAGAAGGCACGCUGAUAUGUAGGUGAAGCGACUUGCUCGUGGAGCUGAAAUCAGUCGAAGAUACCAGCUGGCUGCAACUGUUUAUUAAAAACACAGCACUGUGCAAACACGAAAGUGGACGUAUACGGUGUGACGCCUGCCCGGUGCCGGAAGGUUAAUUGAUGGGGUUAGCGGUAACGCGAAGCUCUUGAUCGAAGCCCCGGUAAACGGCGGCCGUAACUAUAACGGUCCUAAGGUAGCGAAAUUCCUUGUCGGGUAAGUUCCGACCUGCACGAAUGGCGUAAUGAUGGCCAGGCUGUCUCCACCCGAGACUCAGUGAAAUUGAACUCGCUGUGAAGAUGCAGUGUACCCGCGGCAAGACGGAAAGACCCCGUGAACCUUUACUAUAGCUUGACACUGAACAUUGAGCCUUGAUGUGUAGGAUAGGUGGGAGGCUUUGAAGUGUGGACGCCAGUCUGCAUGGAGCCGACCUUGAAAUACCACCCUUUAAUGUUUGAUGUUCUAACGUUGGCCCGUAAUCCGGGUUGCGGACAGUGUCUGGUGGGUAGUUUGACUGGGGCGGUCUCCUCCUAAAGAGUAACGGAGGAGCACGAAGGUUGGCUAAUCCUGGUCGGACAUCAGGAGGUUAGUGCAAUGGCAUAAGCCAGCUUGACUGCGAGCGUGACGGCGCGAGCAGGUGCGAAAGCAGGUCAUAGUGAUCCGGUGGUUCUGAAUGGAAGGGCCAUCGCUCAACGGAUAAAAGGUACUCCGGGGAUAACAGGCUGAUACCGCCCAAGAGUUCAUAUCGACGGCGGUGUUUGGCACCUCGAUGUCGGCUCAUCACAUCCUGGGGCUGAAGUAGGUCCCAAGGGUAUGGCUGUUCGCCAUUUAAAGUGGUACGCGAGCUGGGUUUAGAACGUCGUGAGACAGUUCGGUCCCUAUCUGCCGUGGGCGCUGGAGAACUGAGGGGGGCUGCUCCUAGUACGAGAGGACCGGAGUGGACGCAUCACUGGUGUUCGGGUUGUCAUGCCAAUGGCACUGCCCGGUAGCUAAAUGCGGAAGAGAUAAGUGCUGAAAGCAUCUAAGCACGAAACUUGCCCCGAGAUGAGUUCUCCCUGAGACUUAGAGUCUCCUGAAGGAACGUUGAAGACGACGACGUUGAUAGGCCGGGUGUGUAAGCGCAGCGAUGCGUUGAGCUAACCGGUACUAAUGAACCGUGAGGCUUAACCUUACAACGCCGAAG